This 492-nucleotide ribosomal RNA is filed under the name uncultured Bacteroidota bacterium. Its description in RNAcentral is "bacterial SSU rRNA". It matches the Rfam family "Bacterial small subunit ribosomal RNA", at positions 660 to 1157 of the family's 1533-position model. The record is from RNAcentral. Lineage: Bacteria; Pseudomonadati; Bacteroidota.
GGCGGAAUAUGUCAUGUAGCGGUGAAAUGCAUAGAUAUGACAUGGAACACCAAUUGCGAAGGCAGCUCACUAAACUAUUACUGACGCUCAUGAACGAAAGCAUGGGGAGCGAACAGGAUUAGAUACCCUGGUAGUCCAUGCUGUAAACUAUGAUCACUAGAUGUUGGCGAUAUAUUGUCAGUGUUUUAGAGAAAUCGUUAAGUGAUCCACCUGGGGAGUACGUUCGCAAGAAUGAAACUCAAAGGAAUUGACGGGGGCUCGCACAAGCGGUGGAGCAUGUGGUUUAAUUCGAUGAUACGCGAGGAACCUUACCAAGACUUAAAUGUAUUUUGCUAAAUUGAGAAAUCAAUUGUUCUUCGGACAAUUUACAAGGUGCUGCAUGGUUGUCGUCAGCUCGUGCCGUGAGGUGUCGGGUUAAGUCCCAUAACGAGCGCAACCCCUAUUUUUAGUUACCAGCGAAUAAUGUCGGGGGCUCUAGAAACACUGCCUGUG